RNAcentral lists this ribosomal RNA (471 nucleotides) under Salmonella enterica. RNAcentral describes it as "bacterial SSU rRNA". It matches the Rfam family "Bacterial small subunit ribosomal RNA", at positions 1 to 468 of the family's 1533-position model. The record is from RNAcentral. Lineage: Bacteria; Pseudomonadati; Pseudomonadota; Gammaproteobacteria; Enterobacterales; Enterobacteriaceae.
AAAUUGAAGAGUUUGAUCAUGGCUCAGAUUGAACGCUGGCGGCAGGCCUAACACAUGCAAGUCGAACGGUAACAGGAAGCAGCUUGCUGCUUCGCUGACGAGUGGCGGACGGGUGAGUAAUGUCUGGGAAACUGCCUGAUGGAGGGGGAUAACUACUGGAAACGGUGGCUAAUACCGCAUAACGUCGCAAGACCAAAGAGGGGGACCUUCGGGCCUCUUGCCAUCAGAUGUGCCCAGAUGGGAUUAGCUUGUUGGUGAGGUAACGGCUCACCAAGGCGACGAUCCCUAGCUGGUCUGAGAGGAUGACCAGCCACACUGGAACUGAGACACGGUCCAGACUCCUACGGGAGGCAGCAGUGGGGAAUAUUGCACAAUGGGCGCAAGCCUGAUGCAGCCAUGCCGCGUGUAUGAAGAAGGCCUUCGGGUUGUAAAGUACUUUCAGCGGGGAGGAAGGUGCUGUGGUUAAUAACC